CACUUUUAAAUUUCACAAUUUUUGAAUUUCAAGUUUUCAUGUCACUAUUCAUUUCAUUAGUCAACUAAAAUGUUGACUUUUGCAUAGAAAAUAUGUACAUUGGUUUUAACACUCCCCAUGUACCAAAUUUUACAUUUAAAACUUGUUGGCAUUGAGCACCCAUACCAUUUCUAAACUAAAAAUCAAGAGGGCAGAAUUUUCAGUUUUUGAAGCUUAAUUUUACUGUUCCAUUAAGCACUGUUGUAGUGGGAAUUUGAGGAAAUGGCAAACAUGAAAGUUGUUCCUUAUUU
This 290-nucleotide unclassified non-coding RNA is filed under the name Hevea brasiliensis (rubber tree). Lineage: Eukaryota; Viridiplantae; Streptophyta; Magnoliopsida; Malpighiales; Euphorbiaceae. The record is from RNAcentral.